GCCUUGGUAGCUUAGUUGGUAAAGCACUUGUCUAAUAUACAAGAGUCCUGGGUUCAAAUCCCAGCUGAGCA
This 71-nucleotide transfer RNA is filed under the name Aedes aegypti (yellow fever mosquito). It matches the Rfam family "tRNA". Rfam says of the family: Transfer RNA (tRNA) molecules are approximately 80 nucleotides in length. Their secondary structure includes four short double-helical elements and three loops (D, anti-codon, and T loops). Further hydrogen bonds mediate the characteristic L-shaped molecular structure. tRNAs have two regions of fundamental functional importance: the anti-codon, which is responsible for specific mRNA codon recognition, and the 3' end, to which the tRNAs corresponding amino acid is attached (by aminoacyl-tRNA synthetases). tRNAs cope with the degeneracy of the genetic code in two manners: having more than one tRNA (with a specific anti-codon) for a particular amino acid; and 'wobble' base-pairing, i.e. permitting non-standard base-pairing at the 3rd anti-codon position. Lineage: Eukaryota; Metazoa; Arthropoda; Insecta; Diptera; Culicidae. The record is from Rfam by way of RNAcentral.